This is a long non-coding RNA of Acanthaster planci (crown-of-thorns starfish), 1791 nucleotides long. RefSeq lists it as uncharacterized. NCBI's taxonomy places the organism in Eukaryota, Metazoa, Echinodermata, Asteroidea, Valvatida, Acanthasteridae. The record is from RefSeq and is a predicted model, not a curated record.
GAAAAAAACUCUAGAUUAAAAUUCAACUUGGGCAUAGUUCAGGCACAAAUUCAAGUGGGGAGAUAAUGCUCCAACAGUCACUGGGCUCUAGUUUUUGUCAGCUGAGUGACAUCUUCAGUGCCUUUUCAGUGUGUCAUUGUGUCUAAUGGCUCAUGUCUACAGUGGAUUAUGCAGCUGAAUGGAGGAAUGCCAAACAGCUACCGGUGUAGUUAGCUGCACCAAAUGGUCCGUGGCUGCACCAAGAUGAAUCCACAGUAUUCAGCUGUUGUACAUGCAUGUAUAAUGAGCGCUGCGGGAAACACUACAGGCAAGGCUCGCUGUGGAUUUCUGAGAAUUCUGAGGGAAAUGUUGUCCGGUGUUUGACAUCUGAAGGGCUGGAUAUUCCUCAUAUAGCACACAUGUACCAGUAUGAUAUCACUUGACUUUAUAAUCGAAAGAUGCCAACUUGUCAGAGUAUAUAGUGCACACCUUGGCCAAAGUACAUGAAAUGCAGAUGUUGGAAAAUGACCUGCACAGUUGUCAUGAAAGAAAUUGAUAUACUUGUGAUGUGAAAUGUACAUGGGGUAAACUUUUCCCCAUUCUUUCCUCUAAGUUACAUGUCCCUGCAUCCUAAAUUUAAAAUAAAUAAAUUUACAACAUCAUAUAUUGGCUGCCAUCACCGAGGCUCUGCAAUAGCCUACAUGUACAUGUACAUACAAGUACUGCAGCUAAAUCAGUGGGAUUGCAACUUACAAGCAUUGAUAAAAACUCAACUCCUACGACGGGUGAAGCAUUGCUGAAAUUCUCCGACCUUUGAGCUUGUUUGAAAAGUGAGCAAUUGUGUGCUGCUGCCCAACAAAGACUUUUGUUGUUGUUUGAUGAGUUUAGUUCAAUCAUCGCACUUGAACAAGCGUGAAUACAAAGACCCAAUGCACGGGUUCCAAUGUACACACAAAAGACGCAGUGAUCAAUACCACUUUAUUGUGAACCACAGAAAUGACCUACUUUAAUACACGCUAUGUACAUGUCCAGUAUUUUGGGAAUGGCUUUUAGAAAUUGAUGCACUGACCAAAUUGAAAGUUGGACUGCAAAGACAGAGCACUGGGGUAUAAAGCCAUAAUCCCCUCAAAUCCUGGCAAAUCUGCCACGGGGUUUAGAAGAUUGUGUACGAAGAAAGUGAUAAGAGGUCAGCCACUGUGUGCGUACUGUACAUACAUGGGGCUUGAGUUCUACCAAAACUGUGUCACUUUGUUUCUACCAGGAAAAUAUUAGGAAAGUUUGGAUAAAUUGUCUCUCUUCCGAUGUGAAAUGCAGCUGUUACUACCUGCAGGUAGUAUGGAAAUAUUUUACUCACAUAACCUUUGAAACGCUUGCAACAAAAGCACAAAUACAUGUAUAAAGAGUCAAUAUUUCCAAACAAUUGUAAUUGACUGCGUUCACACAUUGGACAUCGAGGUACUCAAGUGAAACCAAGGUCAACUGCUUUAUUUUGGGGAAACCUAUGAAUCAAAAUGAAAGCAAUGAAAGAAUUUUAAGUAAAUUUCAUUUACAAUAAUGACUCAUUACAAAUGUGUGGUUCCUUAUAUCUAAACAUUUUUAGCAACACUGAAAAACUGAAAGCGAAGCAUGGAACUGACCUAGUCUGGUACUAAUCUCUUUGACAGAUUACACUGAAUACAAUAAAUUCAGGAACAUGAUCCAGAAUGACAUCCCUGUGAAUAAGUCCUAUUAAUCUGUGAUCUGAAGAGAUAUAAUCUGCAAUCCACAUUUGCUUACUGAUUUAAACAAUCAAGAACACUGUAUUUUGUUUCC